RNAcentral lists this ribosomal RNA (574 nucleotides) under Trigonopterus kolakensis. RNAcentral's name for it is "SSU rRNA". It matches the Rfam family "Eukaryotic small subunit ribosomal RNA", at positions 23 to 571 of the family's 1831-position model. The record is from RNAcentral. Lineage: Eukaryota; Metazoa; Arthropoda; Insecta; Coleoptera; Curculionidae.
GUCAUAUGCUUGUCUCAAAGAUUAAGCCAUGCAUGUCUCAGUACAAGCCAAAUUAAGGUGAAACCGCGAAAGGCUCAUUAAAUCAGUUAUGGUUCCUUAGAUCGUACCCACAAUUACUUGGAUAACUGUGGUAAUUCUAGAGCUAAUACAUGCCAACAGAGCUCCGACCGGAGACGGAAGGAGUGCUUUUAUUAGAUCAAAACCAAUCGGUGGCGGGUGUUCGCGCGCUCGUCAUCGUACAACUUGGUGACUCUGAAUAACUUUACGCCGAUCGCACGGUCAUCGCACCGGCGACGCAUCUUUCAAAUGUCUGCCUUAUCAACUGUCGAUGGUAGGUUCUGCGCCUACCAUGGUCGUAACGGGUAACGGGGAAUCAGGGUUCGAUUCCGGAGAGGGAGCCUGAGAAACGGCUACCACAUCCAAGGAAGGCAGCAGGCGCGCAAAUUACCCACUCCCGGCACGGGGAGGUAGUGACRAAAAAUAACGAUACGGGACUCAUCCGAGGCCCCGUAAUCGGAAUGAGUACACUCUAAACCCUUUAACGAGGAUCAAUUGGAGGGCAAGUCUGGUGCCA